UGGAGAGUUUGAUCCUGGCUCAGAUUGAACGCUGGCGGCAGGCUUAACACAUGCAAGUCGAGCGGAGAUGAGGUGCUUGCACCUUAUCUUAGCGGCGGACGGGUGAGUAAUGCUUAGGAAUCUGCCUAUUAGUGGGGGACAACAUUCCGAAAGGAAUGCUAAUACCGCAUACGUCCUACGGGAGAAAGCAGGGGAUCUUCGGACCUUGCGCUAAUAGAUGAGCCUAAGUCGGAUUAGCUAGUUGGUGGGGUAAAGGCCUACCAAGGCGACGAUCUGUAGCGGGUCUGAGAGGAUGAUCCGCCACACUGGGACUGAGACACGGCCCAGACUCCUACGGGAGGCAGCAGUGGGGAAUAUUGGACAAUGGGGGGAACCCUGAUCCAGCCAUGCCGCGUGUGUGAAGAAGGCCUUAUGGUUGUAAAGCACUUUAAGCGAGGAGGAGGCUACUGAGACUAAUACUCUUGGAUAGUGGACGUUACUCGCAGAAUAAGCACCGGCUAACUCUGUGCCAGCA
RNAcentral lists this ribosomal RNA (514 nucleotides) under Acinetobacter junii. RNAcentral describes it as "bacterial SSU rRNA". It matches the Rfam family "Bacterial small subunit ribosomal RNA", at positions 1 to 513 of the family's 1533-position model. Lineage: Bacteria; Pseudomonadati; Pseudomonadota; Gammaproteobacteria; Moraxellales; Moraxellaceae. The record is from RNAcentral.